Long non-coding RNA from Oncorhynchus keta (chum salmon), 640 nucleotides. RefSeq lists it as uncharacterized. The transcript is spliced from 5 exons. NCBI's taxonomy places the organism in Eukaryota, Metazoa, Chordata, Actinopteri, Salmoniformes, Salmonidae. The record is from RefSeq and is a predicted model, not a curated record.
AGGGUCUGGUUGGUCUAGCAGGUCCUAAUGGUCCUCCAGGUCUACCUGGUCUCUCUGGUAGAGUAGGACAGAAGGGUUCUAAAGGGAAUCAGGGUCCCAUUGGUGCUAUCGGAGAUACAGGUCCUGCUGGCCCUCCUGGACCUCCUGGUCUCCCUGCGGUGGGUCUUCAGUCUCUCCCGGUGCAGGAGAGAGGAAGGAGGAGGAGACAACACUCUUCCUUUGACGGGCCGCACUGGAAGACGAGGAAGAGCAAGAGGGGAUGGAGGGAAGGGAGGAGGGAGAGGAAGAAAGGAUGCAGGCAGACCAGGCAGGGCAGGAGGAGGAGAAAGAGAUGGAGGAGGUGUUUGCUUCUCUCUCUUCUAUGAGGACGGAGGUAGAGGGUCUGAGGACCCCCUGGGGACCUACCAGUAUCCAGCCCGAACUUGCAAGGAGCUACAGCUGUUGUUCCCAAAGUACACUGAUGGUGAGUACUGGAUAGACCCUAACCAGGGUUGCCAUAGAGACUCCUUCAAGGUGUUCUGUAACUUCACGGCCGAUGGAGAGACGUGUCUGUACCCUGACAUGAAGUUCCAGUCGGUGAAGCUGAGUUCCUGGAAAGGAGAGAAACCUGGUACCUGGUACAGCCAGUUCAGGAAAGGAA